GACGAACGCUGGCGGCGUGCUUAACACAUGCAAGUCGAACGGAAAGGCCCUGCUUUUGUGGGGUGCUCGAGUGGCGAACGGGUGAGUAACACGUGAGUAACCUGCCCUUGACUUUGGGAUAACUUCAGGAAACUGGGGCUAAUACCGGAUAGGAGCUCCUGCUGCAUGGUGGGGGUUGGAAAGUUUCGGCGGUUGGGGAUGGACUCGCGGCUUAUCAGCUUGUUGGUGGGGUAGCGGCUUACCAAGGCUUUGACGGGUAGCCGGCCUGAGAGGGUGACCGGCCACAUUGGGACUGAGAUACGGCCCAGACUCCUACGGGGGGCAGCAGUGGGGAAUAUGGCACAAUGGGCGGAAGCCUGAUGCAGCAACGCCGCGUGCGGGAUGACGGCCUUCGUGUUGUAAACCGCUUUCGCCUGUGACGAAGCUUGAGUGACGGUAAUGGGUAAAGAAGCACCGGCUAACUACGUG
This 468-nucleotide ribosomal RNA is filed under the name uncultured bacterium. RNAcentral describes it as "partial 16S ribosomal RNA". It matches the Rfam family "Bacterial small subunit ribosomal RNA", at positions 28 to 507 of the family's 1533-position model. The record is from RNAcentral.